UUGCAGCUCCGCCGUCCCCAAAUCGGCGAGAUUGAAAAUUAGGGUUCUAACUUCUAACUAAGCAGAUCUGUAAAAAUCCCCGAAAAAAGUAAGAAAAGGAAAAAAGAAAUACAGGGUCGGCAACCCAAAUUUUCCCAAAUAAGUUAAUCAAUUAUUUAUUGCAAGGACCAGGUUCACGAAAAGAAAACAUUUAUUGCUUCGACACAGACUUCAAGAUUUAAAAAUAAAGUAAAAGUAAAAAAGCAAAAUAUUUCAAACCCAUUAACCAAAAUCUAGAUCUUCAACAACUUCAUCUUCAAUCCACCCAAACUGCAAAUACCCAUGAAUCUUUUGGUUCGCUUGAGCAAGGAGGCGUUUAAAAGUUUAAAAUUUUAUUUUUUUUUAUAAUAGAAAGAAAGGAGAGCAUAAACUUCAACAGAUCAGAGAAAAGAAAGCAACUUUAAAACAGAGACUGAGCUGAAAGAGAUUCACCUUAACAAGAUCGACGGUAGAACAGAGAUGAAGAAACGGGGAGGUCGAGGUAGAAGAAUACAGACAGAGUCUCUCUCUCCAUAUAUAUACGCAUAUCUAUAUCUAUCUAUAUAUGUUUAUAUAUAUACAUACACGUAUGUGUGUUUCUCUCUCUUCAUCGGUCUUCUCUCUCUCUCUCUCUACCCUAUCGUGCGGAAAAAAUUAAANGGGGAGGUCGAGGUAGAAGAAUACAGACAGAGUCUCUCUCUCCAUAUAUAUACGCAUAUCUAUAUCUAUCUAUAUAUGUUUAUAUAUAUACAUACACGUAUGUGUGUUUCUCUCUCUUCAUCGGUCUUCUCUCUCUCUCUCUACCCUAUCGUGCGGAAAAAAUUAAAAAUGAGACAUUAUUGCAGGAAUAGCGAAUUUUGUAGGGAUGGAGAACUUCGAGUGGGUGAUAAGUAGUUUUUCUUAUCACGCUAUAUUCUCUAUCUGGAUGAUAAGUUAUUUGGCUUAUGAUAUGUGGAUGGAAGUGGGUCCCAUGGAGCCGGCUAGCUUUGUCUUUUGGUCAUUGGGCUCGGAAUCUCCAGCUGAUAAAGGUAC
Molecule: long non-coding RNA, 1050 nt
Filed under: Lactuca sativa (garden lettuce)
Lineage: Eukaryota; Viridiplantae; Streptophyta; Magnoliopsida; Asterales; Asteraceae
Description: long non-coding RNA (LSAT_LNC000141)
Source: RNAcentral